RNAcentral lists this small RNA (351 nucleotides) under Drosophila mojavensis. RNAcentral's name for it is "GI14945". The record is from RNAcentral. Lineage: Eukaryota; Metazoa; Arthropoda; Insecta; Diptera; Drosophilidae.
AACAACAACAACAAUGAACAACAACAACAAACACAUCUAGAGACAGCAAAACAGCGCAAACCGACGAGGAAAAGCAACGCGAUCGUCAGCGCAACGAACGUGAGGCCAAAAAGGAAGAGCAGGACGCUAUCAAUUACAAGGCCCGAUGCCCGAGUAACUCUGCACAAGUGUAUCGCUCGUAAUUAGGCAAAUCAAUUAAAAUGGCCGCAGAGCUGAGUAACUUAUAGUUAAAAUGCACUUUGCAACAAUUGCAUGUAAACAGCGCGACAAGGAGCAACGAGAGGCGCGUUUGCUGGACUUUGAGAUACGGCGCCAGCAAAAGCGCGAGGAGCAGAACCAGCAGCGGCAACA